This 75-nucleotide transfer RNA is filed under the name Candidatus Campbelliibacteriota bacterium. RNAcentral describes it as "tRNA-Arg". It matches the Rfam family "tRNA". Rfam says of the family: Transfer RNA (tRNA) molecules are approximately 80 nucleotides in length. Lineage: Bacteria; Candidatus Campbelliibacteriota. The record is from RNAcentral.
GUUCCCAUGGUGAAAUGGAUAUCACGACGGUCUUCGGAACCGUCAUUGGGGGUUCGAGUCCCUCUGGGAACACAA